AGUGAACGCUGGCGGUAGGCCUAACACAUGCAAGUCGAACGGCAGCACAGUAAGAGCUUGCUCUUACGGGUGGCGAGUGGCGGACGGGUGAGGAAUACAUCGGAAUCUACUUUUUCGUGGGGGAUAGCGUAGGGAAACUUACGCUAAUACCGCAUACGACCUACGGGUGAAAGCAGGGGAUCUUCGGACCUUGCGCGAUUGAAUGAGCCGAUGUCGGAUUAGCUAGUUGGCGGGGUAAAGGCCCACCAAGGCGACGAUCCGUAGCUGGUCUGAGAGGAUGGUCAGCCACACUGGAACUGAGACACGGUCCAGACUCCUACGGGAGGCAGCAGUGGGGAAUAUUGGACAAUGGGCGCAAGCCUGAUCCAGCCAUACCGCGUGGGUGAAGAAGGCCUUCGGGUUGUAAAGCCCUUUUGUUGGGAAAGAAAAGCAGCAGGUUAAUACCCCGCUGUUCUGACGGUACCCAAAGAAUAAGCACCGGCUAACUUCGUG
RNAcentral lists this ribosomal RNA (492 nucleotides) under uncultured bacterium. Its description in RNAcentral is "partial 16S ribosomal RNA". It matches the Rfam family "Bacterial small subunit ribosomal RNA", at positions 29 to 507 of the family's 1533-position model. The record is from RNAcentral.